AGCGAACGCUGGCGGCAGGCCUAACACAUGCAAGUCGAACGAACCUUUCGGGGUUAGUGGCGGACGGGGGAGUAACACGUGGGAACGUGCCUUUAGGUUCGGAAUAACUCAGGGAAACUUGUGCUAAUACCGAAUGUGCCCUUCGGGGGAAAGAUUUAUCGCCUUUAGAGCGGCCCGCGUCUGAUUAGCUAGUUGGUUGAGGUAAUGGCUCACCAAGGCGACGAUCAGUAGCUGGUCUGAGAGGAUGAUCAGCCACAUUGGGACUGAGACACGGCCCAAACUCCUACGGGAGGCAGCAGUGGGGAAUCUUGCGCAAUGGGCGAAAGCCUGACGCCGCCAUGCCGCGUGAAUGAUGCAGGUCUUAGGAUUGUAAAAUUCUUUCACCGGGGACGAUAAUGACGGUACCCGGAGAAGAAGCCCCGGCUAACUUCGUG
This 434-nucleotide ribosomal RNA is filed under the name uncultured bacterium. Its description in RNAcentral is "partial 16S ribosomal RNA". It matches the Rfam family "Bacterial small subunit ribosomal RNA", at positions 29 to 507 of the family's 1533-position model. The record is from RNAcentral.